UACUCUUUUUGUUGUCUACAUGCAGUAUCAUACAAGUAAAGCCAAUAUCUUUUCUUACAGUUUAGCUUCGUAGAAAGUGUAAUCUCGGGUAUUUUGGAAGCAUUUCCUUCGACUCAUCAACAAAAGCGGGUUGUAGUCACCCUGAGCGUUUGUCUCGUCUCCUUUCUGUCUACUAUUCCUUUUGUGACUGCGGGAGGAGUGUACUACUUCCAGUUGUUGGACUGGUACUCCGCGUCCUUGAACGCCCUUGUGACUGGCUGCCUGGAAUGUGUGGUCAUCUACUGGAUCUACGGUUCUGAUAAGUUCAGCAAAGAUAUAGAAAGGAUGACGGGCCGUCGUCCUCCACUUGUCUUGAGCCUUCUGUCGUCUUAUGUUAC
Haliotis rufescens (red abalone) is the source of this 377-nucleotide long non-coding RNA. RefSeq lists it as uncharacterized. The transcript is spliced from 3 exons. NCBI's taxonomy places the organism in Eukaryota, Metazoa, Mollusca, Gastropoda, Lepetellida, Haliotidae. The record is from RefSeq and is a predicted model, not a curated record.